Molecule: ribosomal RNA, 948 nt
Filed under: Salmonella enterica subsp. enterica
Lineage: Bacteria; Pseudomonadati; Pseudomonadota; Gammaproteobacteria; Enterobacterales; Enterobacteriaceae
Description: partial 23S ribosomal RNA
Rfam family: Bacterial large subunit ribosomal RNA
Source: RNAcentral
CUUAAUUGGGCGUUAAGUUGCAGGGUAUAGACCCGAAACCCGGUGAUCUAGCCAUGGGCAGGUUGAAGGUUGGGUAACACUAACUGGAGGACCGAACCGACUAAUGUUGAAAAAUUAGCGGAUGACCUGUGGCUGGGGGUGAAAGGCCAAUCAAACCGGGAGAUAGCUGGUUCUCCCCGAAAGCUAUUUAGGUAGCGCCUCGUGAAUUCAUCUCCGGGGGUAGAGCACUGUUUCGGCUAGGGGGCCAUCCCGGCUUACCAACCCGAUGCAAACUGCGAAUACCGGAGAAUGUUAUCACGGGAGACACACGGCGGGUGCUAACGUCCGUCGUGAAGAGGGAAACAACCCAGACCGCCAGCUAAGGUCCCAAAGUCAUGGUUAAGUGGGAAACGAUGUGGGAAGGCCCAGACAGCCAGGAUGUUGGCUUAGAAGCAGCCAUCAUUUAAAGAAAGCGUAAUAGCUCACUGGUCGAGUCGGCCUGCGCGGAAGAUGUAACGGGGCUAAACCAUGCACCGAAGCUGCGGCAGCGAACGUAUCACCCAAGACAACUUUACGGAGUUGACGAUUGACGGAGCGAAGCGACGUCAAAGCGUUCAUUAAAGUCGAGUUGGCUUAGGGAUACGUUCGUUGGGUAGGGGAGCGUUCUGUAAGCCUGUGAAGGUGUGUCGUGAGGCAUGCUGGAGGUAUCAGAAGUGCGAAUGCUGACAUAAGUAACGAUAAAGCGGGUGAAAAGCCCGCUCGCCGGAAGACCAAGGGUUCCUGUCCAACGUUAAUCGGGGCAGGGUGAGUCGACCCCUAAGGCGAGGCCGAAAGGCGUAGUCGAUGGGAAACGGGUUAAUAUUCCCGUACUUGGUGUUACUGCGAAGGGGGGACGGAGAAGGCUAUGUUGGCCGGGCGACGGUUGUCCCGGUUUAAGCGUGUAGGUGUGUGUUCCAGGUAAAUCCGGUU